RNAcentral lists this ribosomal RNA (648 nucleotides) under Triticum aestivum (bread wheat). RNAcentral's name for it is "partial small subunit ribosomal RNA". The record is from RNAcentral. Lineage: Eukaryota; Viridiplantae; Streptophyta; Magnoliopsida; Poales; Poaceae.
AUGCCCCCAAUCAGGCUGAGUCAGAGCCUCCUCUGGUGCAAACCCAAAGAAUGUCUGCAACCAGUAGGGGUCAGGCUUCGGCUCCCCUUCAGGCAGCACCUUCUUUUUCUGGUACUUCCUCUUCUUCUUCUUCUUUGAUGCAUCAUCAUCACCAGGCCUGGCGGUCACCACUGGAGUAAGCAGUGCCGAGCGGACUAAAUCGACCACUUUCUUGUCACGCACAUCACGGAUGAGCGCGCCGACCACGAGCGCAGGGUCAGGGGAAUCAAGCAGCGGGGAGAGGUCUCCCUUGAUGUACCAGAGGUAGGGCGCCCAGCUCCGGCGGAUGCUACGGAGUGCGGCAUGCGGGGAUCGCCCAGGGCGGAAGGCGAAGGACUUGGGCGAGAACCGCGCCUCAUAAACUGGUUCGAGCAGCAGCAGGAGCAGCUCCUGCACGACGCGGUCCUGGAACGGGGCCGGGCCCGGGGUGGUGAGGAGGGCGCGGAGCUUGCGCUUGGAGAGGGUGGCGGGGUCCGGGGCCGCCGCGGCGCGCGGGGAGUGGAGGUAGGGCGUGAGGCGGUUGCCGAAGCGGAAGCGGGCGUCGAUGACGGCGUUGCGGAGGGUGAGGAUGGAGGUGAGCGUGGAGGCGGGGAUGGAGGAGCGGGGUAG